CUGCUAUCGGGGUGAGACUAAGCCAUGCGAGUCGUGCGCCCUCGGGUAUGCGAGGGCGCGGCGCACGGCUCAGUAACACGUAGCUAACCUACCCUGAGGAGGGGGAUACCCCCGGGAAACUGGGGUUAAUCCCCCAUAGGUCUGGAUACCUGGAAUGGGUUCAGGCCAAAAUGGAUCUGCGCGCAUCCUGCACAGGUCCGCCUCAGGAUGGGGCUGCGGCCCAUCAGGUAGUUGGCGGGGUAAAGGCCCACCAAGCCGAUAACGGGUGCGGGCUCUGGAAGGAGGAGCCCGGAGAUGGGCACUGAGACAAGGGCCCAGGUCCUACGGGGCGCAGCAGGCGCGAAACCUCCACAAUGCGGGAAACCGCGAUGGGGUUACCCCGAGUGUCGCCCGCUGAGGGCGACUUUUCUGGGGUCUAAAAAGCCCCAGGAAUAAGGGGAGGGCAAGUCUGGUGUCAGCCGCCGCGGUAAAACCAGC
RNAcentral lists this ribosomal RNA (477 nucleotides) under uncultured crenarchaeote. RNAcentral's name for it is "bacterial SSU rRNA". It matches the Rfam family "Archaeal small subunit ribosomal RNA", at positions 27 to 480 of the family's 1478-position model. Lineage: Archaea; Thermoproteati; Thermoproteota. The record is from RNAcentral.